GAUGAACGCUGGCGGCGUGCCUAAUACAUGCAAGUCGAGCGAACAGACGAGGAGCUUGCUCCUCUGACGUUAGCGGCGGACGGGUGAGUAACACGUGGAUAACCUACCUAUAAGACUGGGAUAACUUCGGGAAACCGGAGCUAAUACCGGAUAAUAUAUUGAACCGCAUGGUUCAAUAGUGAAAUACGGUUUUUCUGUCACUUAUAGAUUGAUCCGCGCCGCAUUAGCUAGUUGGUAAGGUAACGGCUUACCAAGGCAACGAUGCGUAGCCGACCUGAGAGGGUGAUCGGCCACCCUGGAACUGAGACACGGCCCAGACUCCUACGGGAGGCAGCAGUAGGGAAUCUUCCGCAAUGGGCGAAAGCCUGACGGAGCAACGCCGCGUGAGUGAUGAAGGUCUUCGGAUCGUAAAACUCUGUUAUUAGGGAAGAACAAAUGUGUAAGUAACUAUGCACGUCUUGACGGUACCUAAUCAGAAAGCCACGGCUAACUACGUG
This 497-nucleotide ribosomal RNA is filed under the name uncultured bacterium. Its description in RNAcentral is "partial 16S ribosomal RNA". It matches the Rfam family "Bacterial small subunit ribosomal RNA", at positions 28 to 507 of the family's 1533-position model. The record is from RNAcentral.